This 1798-nucleotide long non-coding RNA is filed under the name Cricetulus griseus (Chinese hamster). Its description in RNAcentral is "lncRNA (ENSCGRG00015035814.1)". Lineage: Eukaryota; Metazoa; Chordata; Mammalia; Rodentia; Cricetidae. The record is from RNAcentral.
AGAAAAGAAGCACAGACAACCUCAGGCAAUGCUGUCCAACCCGUGGUGUGCUGGGUGGAGCUGGAGCGUGGCUCGGUUGAAGAGAAAAAAAAUCAGAUGAGCAGGGAUGAAAGGAAGAAAAGAGGGCCCCUCAAGAACUUGAACAAAGGAGUCAAGGCCAUGGUGGGGAAACCCACAGAAUCAGCUGACCCAAGCUGUUUCCUUUACCAGUAGGUGCAGGCAGCUGGGCAAUGGCAAGACAUGUUCACUUGAAGAUUUUGCCUUGAUUGAAGGUUUUGCCCACAAGCUGGAAGGCCCCCUCCCAGGAAAAGUGCUCUCCAACCAAGGUCUGGGUCUCCUCGCUACCAGGAUCCAGUUUCCGCCAUGUAUCUCACUCGUAGUCCACUUGCCAAUCUGGACUCAGAGGAAAGGCAAGCUCUUGGCCACGGAAGACCCAAACACCAGAAAUGGAGCUGCUGUUGUUGGUUCCAAAGAGGAUGACGCCAGCAAAGGCAUUCUUCCUCAGUUUGUCCAAUCGCUGGAAUGUCCCAGUUAUGAGGUUGCAACUCAUGAAGGUCUGGGUGAGCUCUUCAGGGAAGCGGUACUCAGCAUACCACAGGCCAUCCUUACCAAAGUGCUCCCAAAACAUGGCAGUGCCACAGACAGCGUGUCCUCAUUGGAGUACUUCCGCUUAAAUUCAUCCAAUGCGAAGGUACUCUUGGGCAGUGGCCUGUUUGUUGUGGCGCGUGAUGCCCACGGUAGGGAACACCCAGGUGCUGCCUGGAGGAAUGACGUCACUGUCAGCAAAGCUCACCCACUGCACUGCCUGAGCUGCUGCCUCUGGAGUACUUCCACACAGGUCCUCAUUGCUUACGUAAUAGGCGAUGGCAUUGCUCUCACACACAGAGAAUCCCUCAUCACCCUCAAAUGCUGGAACCUUGCCAGAAGGAAAUUUUCUGAGAAAUUCAGGGGUGCGGCCAGUUUGGCCAAAGUAGAAGUGGGGUGGUGUGGAGAGCACGCAGACCUGAGCCCCGCUGUACUGAGCAGCGAUGAGGGCCUUGAAGGCUCUCCAGUUUUCAGGAUAUGUAUGUAUACAGGGUCCCAGCCGCCAUGGUGAUUCUGAAGAGAAAGGGGGUCCCAUUUGUUAUUUUGAAGUAAGAGCCUGUAGUUCUGGUUAACUGGGGCUGAAGAAUCAGCUGUGAUUAACAAGAUACCAGAAAUACUAAAGCAAACCUUUUCUGUGCUGGGAUACCUGAUGCUGGUUGCUGGAGCUAAGAAAUUGGUGGUGAUUAAGAAGAGACCAGCUUGGCACAGUGAGAGGCCCCGAGAAGCCAUUGGCAAAGAUGCAGCCUCCAUGGCAGUUAAAGGCCCAGGACUGAAGGAGUCAUGCAGAGAAGUUGAGGCACCAUGAGGAGAGCCUAUGAGGGGCUAUUGGUGAAAGUGCAGCCCAGUUGCAACAACGGACCUUGGCAUUUUGGAGAUGCCAAUACAGUGGGAUGACCAUCAAGAGCAGCAGCAGCGGGGUGGAGCCAGCUGGAGCCUCAAGAGGAGCUGCCUGUGCUGACAAGGAUGGAGCCGAUGCCUCGCCCCAGAACAAGCGGCUUCUCUCUACCUUCGCCUACAAUUGCCUACCGAUUCCUCAACACCAAGCUCCUCUUGCCUAGUAUCUCCAUGCUGGAGGCUUGCUGAAUUGAACGGUGUUUGAUUUACCCACGGCGGGGCCAAGUGGACUGCACACAUCCUGAAGACAGAGCGUGUCCUGCUGGCAUCUGCUUUGCUUUCAAUAAAGAACAGCAAGAAGUAAGGUUCUUGUCUUUGG